Long non-coding RNA from Myotis davidii, 2351 nucleotides. RefSeq lists it as uncharacterized. The transcript is spliced from 2 exons. The record is from RefSeq and is a predicted model, not a curated record. Lineage: Eukaryota; Metazoa; Chordata; Mammalia; Chiroptera; Vespertilionidae.
CGCGCCGGCCGCGCUCUGCGCACAAAAGCCAAACGCACCCCACUCUCUCCAUGUGAUUCCUCUUCUUGCUUUGAGAUCGGAGACGACUUUGCCUUGCCCGGGCUGUCCCGGGAUCCCGGCUGGCCCCUGCGGCCCACGUCCCCCGCCUCCUCCCCGCGUCCGGAGGGGUGACCGGUCCUGACCAUCUGAGACGCAGUGGAAAUGUGGUUCUUUGCAUCAUGUACGUUUCUCAUUGAUUUUUGGUUGACGCCUAUUUCCCCCCUUUCAGUAACCGUUCAGGGUGCUGUCUUGGCGGCUUGACACCAGCGAGCGAAAGUUUUAGCCUGGAAAAAAAAAAGAAAAGAAAAAAACGGGGUGAGGGAGGAAGAGGACAGGGAGAAGGUGGAAAGAAGGGAGGGGGGGUGUUUUUUGUUUUUCUUGCAACCACCGUUUUCUAGUUCCAAGUUUUAAAUACAUGGAAGGAAGUCCGGGAGAACCAAAUGAAGGAGCAGGAGGAGAGGAAGAAACUUUUGUUUUUUCCUUUUUUUUUUUCUGCCAGGAGUAGCUGGAAAUUAUGAUCGGGUUCCUUUUCUGCCAGCUUGGAAGGGCAACCCCGUGACUGAUUGCGAUUCCGAGGAUGUCUAUGCAAAGUUGGAUUCUUGUUUCAGUGUAUCCAAUCUGAAGUAUUGCACAUCUGAACUGGGACUGUUAACACUGAUGCCAAUACAGUGUGGGGUGCCAGAAAGUGUCUGCUGAUAUUUGUGGGGGGAAAAAAAUCUAUUUUGUUUACCUACUGUAUCUAAGGGGAGUCUGGGGAAAAACGGUAGUAUUUUUUUUUAUCAGCUGUGAAAAAAAUGUUACAGAUCUGCACAUUUUGUGUGUGUACUAUUGUGUGUGUGCGUGUGUGGUUUUUUUUGUGUGUGUUUUUUUAAGUUUAGCUUUUUAUUCUUAUUGGUUGGCAGUAACGGAUUUUGAUGAGUAGCUCUUUAAAAUACAGUACAAAGACUUAACAAAUGUGAUUCAGGGCCCCCAGCACCCCUGUGUCUGCAGAGUGCCUUCAAAACUCAGCUGUUCCAGCCGGUGCCAACCUGUGAACUUCCCACCCUACCCCAGAAUCUGCUAUUUCCCCAAACCACUUCCCAGUUUCCUUUUAGUAAUCAUCCCCAAGGAGCCAGGACAAUAGGGCCUGUUCUGUGAAUUUCUUCUUUAUUAUUUCCAGCCUUUAAAAUGUAAUUUCCAUGUCUUGCGAUUUUUUUUUUACUUUUUUUUCCUUCAUUUUGUUCAAAUGUUCAGGUAUUUAGCUCCCCUUUUAUAUUAUUUUAAAAUUUUUUUUUGGUUAUCUGUUAAUAGGGUCUUCCUUCAGAAGCAAAGAGCAAAAUUUUACUGUUGUGAUGUACCAAGAGAAUUCUAACCAAUUGUAAUUUUUAAUUCCAGACACACGUGUUUAAUCAUUGUCUCUUCAUUUUAAGACUUUUAAUACAAAUGUCAUUUUUAAAGAAACAAACCCAAAACUAUUGUUUGUGUUUCUGUGUUUCGUAUUCAGUGAUUUAAUACAGUAGCAUGGCUAAGGUGAACAGGUGCAGGUGAUUGGUGGUGCCUGAUGUCCCCAAAGAGCUGGUGGUCAAAUUUUGAAGACGGAAGUAUUUCAUUGGCAAGUUGAGCGACAUCACUCCCAACUUCUUAAAUAUGGGGGAAAUCACCAUGGACUAGGAAGCCCUGGGGUAUGGCCAUAUCAUCUGACUACAAGAUUACUGACUCUUCACCUGGCAUGGAGCAGUUUACCUCACCUCGCAGCUAACAUUGAAUCAUAUCUCAUUCAAGAAAAGAGCCUCUACAGAGAUCUAUUCUACCAUAAUUCUAUAAGAAUGUAUAUUUCAAUAAAAUAUAUUUUAAAAAAUAUAUUUUAGAUAGUUUUGAAUUCAACAUCAUAAGUAGGUAAGAGAAUUUCAGGUAUAUUUCUAAGUCUGAUUUCAACAUCAUUCAUCCUCUAGUAGGAAAAGGCUUGAGUUUGGAGUUCUUUACUCUGAGUUGGUUAUCUUAGCUUUACAUUGUCAUACAUACCCUGUUAACUUUUCUUUCUGUAUAUCAUUCCAUUCAUCCACAUUUGAUUUAUGCAAAUAUUUUUUUCUGUCACGAAUGUAAUCCAUAGUAAUUGGUAAAAAUCCCCAAAAGUGUUUAAUUAAUGGUUAUACAAAUGUGUUCUCCAUGUUACAGUGGAAAGAGAGAAGUAUGUUUCAUAGGGUUUGAGACACAGAUGGGAAUAGAUCAAACCAGUAGGAGAAGAUUGCUCACUAAGCAUGUUACCUGUGGCUUUGGGCAUUGCCUUUGCAUUUCGUUUUUAAAACCUAUAAAGGAAACUUUUACAAAACAAA